AAGUAUAUGCAUAUGUUUAUAUGCAGAGACUGCGAACGGCUCAUUAAAACAGUUAUAAUCUACUUGACAUUUUUUCUAUAAGGAUAACUACGGAAAAGCUGUAGCUAAUACUUGCUUUAAUGCUCCCGAUUACGUCUUUGAGCAUGUACUUGUUAAGCCUUUUAAGAAAAAAGUUAUUAACUUAAGGAAUUAUAACAAAGAAGCAACACGUAAAUGGAUUUUCCAUUUUUUAGUGUGUAUCAAUCGAGUUUCUGACCUAUCAGCUUUUGAUGUUAGGGUAUUGGCCUAACAUGGCUAUGACGGGUAACGGGGAAUUAGAGUUCGAUUCCGGAGAGGGAGCCUGAGAAAUAGCUACCACAUCUAAGGAAGGCAGCAGGCGCGUAAAUUACCCAAUUCUAAAGAAGAGAGGUAGUGACAAGAAAUAACAAUACAAGGCCAAUCUGGCUUUGUAAUUGGAAUGAUGGGAAUUUAAAACCUUCCCAAAACUCAAUUGGAGGGCAAGUCUGGUGCCAGCAGCCGCGGUAAUUCCAGCUCCAAUAGCGUAUAUUAAAAUUGUUGCAGUUAAAACGCUCGUAGUUGAAUUUCAAAGAAUCGAUAUUUUAAGUAGCACUUUGUAGAUUAAUCCACAUAACUGAUACUACGUAUCGACUUUGUGCGCAUUUUUCUACUUAUGUGUUCUUUUAAUUAAAAUGAUUCUUUUUAAGAUCUUUCUUUUUUGCUUCGGCAUUUUAGGAGAUCUUGUUACUUUGAGUAAAUUAGAGUGUUCAAAGCAAACAGAUUAUAGCAUCUUUAUGCGUUUGAAUACUACAGCAUGGAAUAACAAAAUUGAACAAGUCAGAAUUUUGUUCUUUUUUCUUAUUUUGGCUUAGUUACGAUUAAUAGGAGUAGCUUGGGGGCAUUUGUAUUCAGAUGUCAGAGGUGAAAUUCUUAGAUUUUCUGGAGACAAACAACUGCGAAAGCAUUUGCCUAAAAUACUUCCAUUAAUCAAGAACGAAAGUUAAGGGAGUGAAGACGAUCAGAUACCGUCGUAAUCUUAACCAUAAACUAUGCCGACUAGGCUUUGGAUGAAAGAUUUUAAAAUAAGAGUUUUUUCUCUGAGGAGUUAAAACUCUUAGAUUGCUUCCUUCAGUGCCUUAUGAGAAAUCAAAGUCUUUGGGUUCUGGGGCGAGUAUUCGCGCAAGCGAGAAAGUUAAAAGAAUUGACGGAAGGGCACCACCAGGCGUGGAGCUUGCGGCUUAAUUUGACUCAACACGGGAAAACUCACUAGUUUAAGACAAGAGUAGGAUUGACAGAUUAAUAGCUCUUUCUUGAUUUCUUGGAUGGUGAUGCAUGGCCGUUUUUAGUUCGUGAAUAUGAUUUGUCUGGUUAAUUCCGAUAACGAACGAGAUCUUAACCUGCUAAUUAGCGGCAAAUACGAUAUAUUCUUAUGUGGAAUUGAAUAUAGUUGAUUUGCUUAUUCUGAAGAAAAUAUUGGGAUACGUAAAUGUAUCCCUUUCCCUUUUCUACUUAAUUUGCUUAUCAUACUAUUUCUUUUUUGCGUAAGAAUGUAUUUGCUUGAUUGUAAAGCUUCUUAGAGGAACGAUGUGUGUCUAACACAAG
Molecule: ribosomal RNA, 1599 nt
Filed under: Plasmodium inui
Lineage: Eukaryota; Apicomplexa; Aconoidasida; Haemosporida; Plasmodiidae
Description: SSU rRNA
Rfam family: Eukaryotic small subunit ribosomal RNA
Source: RNAcentral